UAGUAGCCCGAUUGCGCGGCUCAGCCCAUA
Molecule: small RNA, 30 nt
Filed under: Bombyx mori (domestic silkworm)
Lineage: Eukaryota; Metazoa; Arthropoda; Insecta; Lepidoptera; Bombycidae
Description: ovarian small RNA-22904
Source: RNAcentral